UUCUAUUUUAUCAUAUGGUUAGAGCAUGGUUCUGAUAAUGCCAAGGUCGCAGGUUUGAUCCCUGUACAGAACAG
Non-coding RNA from Podarcis lilfordi (Lilford's wall lizard), 74 nucleotides. The record is from the annotation of a GenBank genome assembly. NCBI's taxonomy places the organism in Eukaryota, Metazoa, Chordata, Lepidosauria, Squamata, Lacertidae.